This 769-nucleotide ribosomal RNA is filed under the name uncultured bacterium. Its description in RNAcentral is "bacterial SSU rRNA". It matches the Rfam family "Bacterial small subunit ribosomal RNA", at positions 626 to 1399 of the family's 1533-position model. The record is from RNAcentral.
AUUGAAACUGUCGAGCUUGAGUGAAGUAGAGGUAGGCGGAAUUCCCGGUGUAGCGGUGAAAUGCGUAGAGAUCGGGAGGAACACCAGUGGCGAAGGCGGCCUACUGGGCUUUAACUGACGCUGAGGCACGAAAGCGUGGGUAGCAAACAGGAUUAGAUACCCUGGUAGUCCACGCUGUAAACGAUGAUUACUAGGUGUGGGUGGACUGACCCCAUCCGUGCCGGAGUAACACAAUAAGUAAUCCACCUGGGGAGUACGGCCGCAAGGCUGAAACUCAAAGGAAUUGACGGGGGCCCGCACAAGCAGUGGAGUAUGUGGAUUAAUUCGAUGCAACGCGAAGAACCUUACCAGGUCUUGACAUCCCGCUAACGAGGUAGAGAUACGUUAGGUGCCCUUCGGGGAAAGCGGAGACAGGUGGUGCAUGGUUGUCGUCAGCUCGUGUCGUGAGAUGUUGGGUUAAGUCCCGCAACGAGCGCAACCCUUACUGUUAGUUGCUACGCAAGAGCACUCUAGCAGGACCGCCGUUGACAAAACGGAGGAAGGUGGGGAUGAUGUCAAAUCAUCAUGCCCCUUAUGACCUGGGCCUCACACGUACUACAAUGGCCAUUAACAGAGGGAGGCAAAGCCGCGAGGCAGAGCAAAACCCUAAAAAUGGUCCCAGUUCGGAUCGCAGGCUGCAACCCGCCUGCGUGAAGUUGGAAUCGCUAGUAAUCGCGGAUCAGCAUGCCGCGGUGAAUACGUUCCCGGGCCUUGCACUCACCGCCCGUCA